CAAGUAAUCAUCUUCCAGCUACAAGGAUCAACAGAAUUAAUAUCCCAGUUGUCCAGGACAUUGUAGGGAUCAACCAAGCUCCUCUUAAUGGACAUCAGAGCUACCACUGCUUAAGAAACAAAACAAAAUCCCGCUAUGUUUAAACUUAAUCCCAUCAUGAUUCAAGUAUCAAAGUAUCUCUCCUAUUUCGGAUCCCCUAUUUCGCGUUUCCAGUCCACAACUCCAGCACUUCUCUAAAAAAAAACCUAACCGUCCUGCAGCACCCAAACCCAACUCCGUCAUUCGAUCUGCCUGCGUCAACGCCGUAUAGAUGCCAACUUGCAGUUUGGGUCAAGCUUUCCCUCGCCGCCGCAAUUGAGGCGCCACUGGAUCCUGACGUUAAGUCACUCUGGCCAGAUCAAAUGGGAGGAGGGAAUGUAAGUCUCUCUACUACUGCCCUAUGCCAAUUUAUAUCAUAUUUGGAAUUUCUGGAUUAAUCUGGUGGGUGGCAAGUUUUGUGGUUCUAUAUCAAAGGAAUGUAGCAGCAUGGUAUCUUGAAGAAGGAUAAUACAAGAUUCAUGGUUUCUUGGCACAUGGAAACUGAAGGAUGAGGAUAAUCAAUUUAACAAAGAGUUCACAUAGGCCAAGAACUUAGCGAGUGCAGAUUAGGUGCUGGUCUGACAUGGGCGCACUAACUUAUUUCAUAAUUGGGCUGACCAAUAUAAUGUACAAAAUGGGCCGGGCAACCCAUGGUUCAGUCGAACUAAAACCCAAGCUAUAAAUAACAGGCACCACCCAAGCGGUGGGGGAUCUAUCAUUU
Lotus japonicus is the source of this 799-nucleotide long non-coding RNA. RefSeq lists it as uncharacterized. The transcript is spliced from 3 exons. The record is from RefSeq and is a predicted model, not a curated record. Lineage: Eukaryota; Viridiplantae; Streptophyta; Magnoliopsida; Fabales; Fabaceae.